UCCUCCGUGGCGCAAUUGGCCAGCGCGUCUGACUGUUACUAUUAUAAGUACAUCAGGAGGUUCGUGGUUCGAGCCCACGCGGGGGAG
Cryphonectria parasitica EP155 is the source of this 87-nucleotide non-coding RNA. The record is from the annotation of a RefSeq genome assembly. NCBI's taxonomy places the organism in Eukaryota, Fungi, Ascomycota, Sordariomycetes, Diaporthales, Cryphonectriaceae.